This 834-nucleotide ribosomal RNA is filed under the name Triticum aestivum (bread wheat). Its description in RNAcentral is "partial small subunit ribosomal RNA". Lineage: Eukaryota; Viridiplantae; Streptophyta; Magnoliopsida; Poales; Poaceae. The record is from RNAcentral.
AUGGAGGCAGACGCGAGCCAUGCACCCACCACCUCUUCCUCCUCCGUCUCCUCGUCGACAUUGUCCACCUCCUCCUCCUCCUCCUCCCUCGCCACCAGCGCGCUAGAGCUCCCCAAGAGCCCCAAGCCCAAGCACCCCAAGAAGCGCAAGAGAGCCGGCUCCGACCGAGAGCAGGACGCCGCCGCGAACACCAAUGGUGUCCGUGGAGACGAGAGCAGCUGCUGCAGCACCGACGAAGACUUCGCCGCCGCGAGCGUCAAGGCGGCCGUGCCCAAGAGCGGCUUCAAGCACCCGUCGUACCGCGGGGUGCGGCGCCGGAGCUGGGGCAAGUGGGUGUCCGAGAUCCGCGAGCCGCGCAAGAAGUCGCGCAUCUGGCUCGGCACCUUCCCGACCGCCGAGAUGGCGGCGCGCGCCCACGACGUGGCCGCGCUCGCCAUCAAGGGCCGCUCCGCGCACCUCAACUUCCCGGAGCUCGCGCACGAGCUGCCCCGCCCGGACUCCACGUCGCCCGCGGACAUCCAGGCCGCCGCCGCGAAGGCCGCCGCCACCGCCGCCGUGCAGUGCGAGGCCGAGCCCGAGCACGAGCACGAGCCGGAGACGCCGUCGUCCUCCUCCGGCGCCGUCUCGGAGACACCGGAGGCCGCAGCCUGCGCCGAAGCGGCGCCCGCGGACAGCGGCGAGGUCGACAAUGCGCUGUUCGACCUGCCCGACCUCCUUCUGGACCUGAGGGACGGGCUCUUCUGGUCGCCGGUCUGGCCGGCGGCGCUGGCCGCCGAGGAGUACGACGGCGGCUGCUGCGUCGGGCUCAGCGAGCCUCUCCUGUGGGCCGAGUAG